Molecule: non-coding RNA, 1142 nt
Organism: Drosophila melanogaster (fruit fly)
Lineage: Eukaryota; Metazoa; Arthropoda; Insecta; Diptera; Drosophilidae
Source: Ensembl
AGUUUCUGGUUUCGGUUCUGGCCGGGUGCUUCCUAAUCUGGGAUGGUCUCUUAUCGCUCUUUAUUAGUUGAUUAGAUGGCCGUGCCUGCGGAAAAUGCAGACGGGUUCGCAGUUGAGGCACUCGACACAGUUGGACCCAUAGCAUUUGAAAAUCCGGUCGGCACACCUAUUGGGAGCACGGAAUACGGGGGGAAGGCUUUAACUGAUUCCGCCUGAUUCCAAGGCUGAUUUAUCAAGGCGGGCGGGAACAGGCACGGCCAGCUUUUCGGGGUGGAAGACGCUACUCGGCGACGUUACGUUGGUCCCACAGCGCGAUACCGACACAAGGAACUGGGCGCACCAAAAAACACUUCACUAGAAAACCAAAGACAGGCACCCAAAUCGAAUCGAUUCGAAUCACAAUCUAUAACGGAAUAACACUUUACUUUGAGUUCGUUUUGCAGUGGUAGUACUCGGCAGCAGACUAGGAAUUUUGUGUGGAAAUCGCUCUGGCCUGACCCAAAAAGCGAACCAGACGAGGAGGCACAACCCAAAGCGAAAUGCGAACUGAGACCCGCUGCUGCUGCCCGCUGGCAAAGAGCGAGAGAACCCCGAAACGGCACGGCAGCCGUGCGAAGAGAGCCAAAGAGAGCGGCACUGAGCACUGAGCACUGAGCACUGAGCGCUGUGUAUCUGUAUCUGGAGGAUGCGGUGUGGCUGGCAAGCGGCAAGAAGCAGACCGCCGGAGAAUGGCAAGGCGGGCAAGAAGAAGCACCAGCUGUCGCAGGGGUACUCACGCUCGAUUUUUUGGGCUUCACUCGGUCUCGAUUUGUUUCGAGCCACCCCUUAACUACGCAACACAUUCGCAGAGGACUACCAACACACCUACACAGCGUAGCGAAGGGAACGCGGGUCAAGGUGUUCAGUUCGGUUGGGUCCUUUUAUGCAAGGAAAUGAACCGGAAAUUAUGUUGCACACACCGUCGAACGAAAACAACAGUUUUUUGAACUUGGCUCAUCGAGCGGCCGACAAUCCAAUCCAUUCGAGGCGAGUUGGAUAGGUGUGAAUCGGUCUGCAAAAUAAUUUUUACUAUUAUUUAUUUUUUUGCAGAACAAAUGAAGAUAUUUUCUGUAUUAAAAAUAAACCAGAAAACCUAUGUACAC